AAUGGUAGCAGCUUGGAUUAAACUCAAAAUUUUCUUUAAAACUCUCUUAACUUUGACAGAGAGAGAAAGAGAAACAAAGCACUUGUACAUCAGAAAAUAAAACAGCCACAGAAAAGAACAAGGAAAAGGUAAAGAUCAAACCUCUUAAACACAUUAUCUCUGAAUACCCAGAAUUUGACAUAUCAGCAUCUCAAAAAUCAUGCAUUGAUUUAAAUUGUCAUAUAUUUAAAGGAACAGAUAAGAAAAGAAGACCACAGGCAGGGAGCUGGAUGUAAGUGAAGCAGCUGGGACAAGAACUGGUGACCAUAUGGGAUCCCUGCACAUGCAAGGGCAAUAUUUUACUACAAUUAAAUGAAAAAGCUUAGCUUUGCUAUUUCUCUGAAAACAAAAUCAUGACUGAAAGAGAAACAGUUCAAGAAUUGGACUUGAAAAAUCACAGAAGUUUUAAAAACGAAAGUUGGAAAAACUCAAAGAGUUCAGAAUCAGAAAACAUUCCAAAGAGCAACUGUCUUUAAGAAACAAUCCUUCAAUUAAAAAGGAAGAGAGACAAAACGGAUCUUCACACCUCUUUUCUAAGAUUUCUUAAGCAGAGUGUCAGCUCCAGUGCAUGUUACUCUGCUCCUGACCCAGCUCCCAGCAAACACACCAGGAAAGCACCAGAUGAAGGCUCAGGUACCUGAGUCUGCCAGCAACAGUGGAUAACCAGAGUUCCUACCUCCUGGAUUCAGCCUGGCAUGUUCAGGCUGUUGUGGCCAUUUGAGGAGUCAAUCAGCAAAUGAGACAUCUGUCUGUCUCUCCCUCCCUCUUUCCUUCCAU
This is a long non-coding RNA of Ochotona princeps (American pika), 816 nucleotides long. RefSeq lists it as uncharacterized. The transcript has 5 exons. The record is from RefSeq and is a predicted model, not a curated record. NCBI's taxonomy places the organism in Eukaryota, Metazoa, Chordata, Mammalia, Lagomorpha, Ochotonidae.